This 487-nucleotide ribosomal RNA is filed under the name uncultured bacterium. Its description in RNAcentral is "bacterial SSU rRNA". It matches the Rfam family "Bacterial small subunit ribosomal RNA", at positions 28 to 507 of the family's 1533-position model. The record is from RNAcentral.
CGACGAACGCUGGCGGCGGUGCCGUAACAACGAUGCAAAGUCGAGCGGAGUCGAUCGACGGAAGCCUUCGGGCGGAAGAUGGUUGACUUAGCGGCGGAUGGGUGAGUAACGCGUGGGCAACCUGCCUCGAAGACCGGGAUAACAGACCGAAAGGGCUGCUAAUACCGGAUGUGGUCAAGGAUCCGCAUGGAUUUUUGAUUAAAGGGGAAACCCGUUUCGAGAUGGGCCCGCGUCCUAUCAGCUAGUUGGUGAGGUAAAAGCUCACCAAGGCGACGACGGGUAGCCGGCCUGAGAGGGUGACCGGCCACACUGGAACUGAGACACGGUCCAGACUCCUACGGGGGGCAGCAGUGGGGAAUCUUCCACAAUGGGCGAAAGCCUGAUGGAGCGACGCCGCGUGAGCGAAGAAGGCCUUGGUUGUAAAGCUCUGUCUGGAGGGACGAAGGAAGUGACGGUACCUCCGGAGGAAGCCACGGCUAACUACGUG